CCUACGGGUGGCAGCAGUGAGGAAUAUUGGUCAAUGGGCGGGAGCCUGAACCAGCCAAGUCGCGUGAAGGAAGAAGGUACUUAGUAUUGUAAACUUCUUUUGUCGGGGAACAAAGGCGGAGACGCGUCUCCGGAUGAGUGUACCCGAAGAAAAAGCAUCGGCUAACUCCGUGCCAGCAGCCGCGGUAAUCCGGAGGAUGCGAGCGUUAUCCGGGUUUAUUGGGUUUAAAGGGUGCGCAGGCGGGAGAUCAAGUCAGCGGUAAAAUGUCGGGGCGCAACCCCGGACGGCCGUUGAAACUGGUUUUCUAGAGUUGGAGAGAGGUAUGCGGAAUUCGUGGUGUAGCGGUGAAAUGCGUAGAUAUUAGGAGGAACACCGGUGGCGAAGGCGGCCAACUGGGCUUUAACUGACGCUGAGGCUCGAAAGUGUGGGGAGCAAACAGGAUUAGAUACCCUUGUAGUC
This 459-nucleotide ribosomal RNA is filed under the name uncultured bacterium. RNAcentral's name for it is "partial 16S ribosomal RNA". It matches the Rfam family "Bacterial small subunit ribosomal RNA", at positions 338 to 795 of the family's 1533-position model. The record is from RNAcentral.